GCUUGUUGAGGGUAGUUGACAGUGGGGGGCUGGGGUGGGUGGAAAUAGAUUAUUCAAAUCACAAAGAAGUAGGUGUGCCCUAAGUGACUGUUCCAUUACGGCGAGGAAGAAAUGUUUGCCUUCCUAAGCAUUCAUCCAACUCGCUGCUGCCGAUUGUGUGGGGCCGGAGGAGAGUGCCUGCUCACGAUCGGAAAGCAGCUCCUCUCCGUGUCCUGUGCUGGUGACUUCAGAGAGUGCAUUGUCGUGUAUGGACACCACACCGACCACUCUGUAACCCUCACCCUUCGCCCAGGCCCCUCCCUGCCUGCUCUGGCUGUGCACAGCUACCCCAGAUCCUCGCCCUGCUGUUUGUGGCCCCCACACUUUGAUUUCCCCUCGUGUCUUCACUUUCCACACUUGUACAUCCCGAAAGUUUCCAAGUCCUAUGGAUUCUGCUUCUGUUAUUUCUAAUUCAAAGGUUCUGGGCUGUGCCUUCCAACUGGAUAAAGCUGACCCUGGAAUUGGCACCUGGUGGGUGAGCAAUCAGGGUCCGUUGAAUGAAAAAUGGCCUCCACCUUAAUCAAGGUUUCAGCUCCAAAAAUAAUCCUACGUGUAUCUCUGCCCACUACUGCAUUAUCCUCCAUGACAGUCGGCUUGGAUCACAUUAUUUUAAUGUUCAGCACCUAGCUUUUUCCUGAAUCCAAUGUAAAGUACUCUUUUCUUUUUCUUUUGGCACCAGGGAUCGAACUCAGGACCUUGCGCUUGUGAGGCAGACUCAGUGCCACUGAGCUAAAUCCCUGAUCCCCAAACUACUCUUUUUAAAUACACCCCAACUUAUUUUUCCUCAGUACUCCUUCACAAACUCCUAAAUACCCUAUGCUCAACACAAAACAUACAGUUCCCAAAGGAAGAUCUUCCAGCCUACACUUACCCAACUUUGUGAUGGGAAGAAAGCCACAGGGUAGGCUGGGAAGCAGGCUCUGAAGUUUGAAUUCAGUCUGUUCUGGGCUGGUGAUAGGUGGUGAUGCUUCUUCCCAGUCUGGACAGCAGCAGUGAGUCAUUUCAGCAGGAGAAACGCAGAAACUGUAGGUGGCACCGUGCGGGCAGUGUGUUUUGGAUAUUGUCAUUCAGAAAGUUAACUGAGAUAGUCAAUGCUUAAUUAUAAAAUGGGCUUUGAGUUGGGUGGUGCUGCUUAACUGUAUGUAAGGAAGGCAGGCCAGGCACAGCUGUGAUGUCCAGUAGGUGAAGAAUAGUAAAUACAUUUUUGAUUUUUUCUAUUUAUGAUGGGUUUUAGCCUCAGUAGAAAUGCAGCAGCACCUGUAUUAUUUAUUCAUUUUGGUCUCUGCCUCAUAGCUUAGUUUAUCUUCAUUUCUUCAACCGUAAUGCUUACUCUUGUUUAUUCAGCAGUAUUGGGGAUUGCACUUGGGGUCUUUGCACUGAGCUACACACCCCGUCUUUUCCCUUCUUUCCUGAGUCAAGGUGUCGCUAAACUGCAGAUUUUCCUGGGUUGAUCUCCUGAUUGUGAUUGUCCUGCCUCAGCCUCCUAGAGUGUAUCCGGCUUCACUCAUCUUUUAAAAGUGAAUUUUUACUGGGCUUUUAAGGCACAUUUCAAAUGCUGCCCCGCCCAUGGAGCUACAGUAUUUGGGUUCUGUAUGUCUUUUUCAGCUAAGCUGGAUGUUCUUCCCUUUUCAGGGAAUUUAUGGGAUUCCUACCAGCAGGUACCUGGUCGGGAGAUGGGAGCUAAACUUCCUUUUUUUGUGCCUGGACCCUCAAUGUCUUACACAUAGUAGGCACAUAGAGUACUUUCAUUAAAUUACAUUCAUGUUUGUUUUUUCCUCAGGGCUGCCGGGAUGUUUCUUUCUCUUUUGAGUCCAGGUUGAUGCUCCUCACUGUGGGGCGUGUGUCUGUGUGAGUAGCCCGCUUAGCUCCUUCAGUGAGGAGACAUACGUUGUUUAGUCCUUAUUUUAAACUACUUUUCAGAAUGGGAGAACAACGCCUUCAUUUUGGAUCCAUGUGAUGCACUUUGAAUUUGCUCAGCUUUAGUUUGUGCUGCCCCUCAUUCUGUGUGGAAAUUAGUUCCACCGAAGUGCCACUGAACUCAGAGCUGCCUGCAACUUGAGAUGCAAACUCCAACACUGUGGGCCACUUUUGAGAAGCAUGUGGUCAUUCGGGAAACAAAGACACUCCUGUUUCCUCUUCUCAAUAACAAUUAAGACAUCAGAUUAAUAGAAUCUUUAAAUUCUUGAAUGAUGCUUGCAGAACAGUUUGUGUUUGCUUUAACACAAAGGAAUACUUUCUGAAACCUAAAGGUCACCCAAGAAAUAAGAGAGAGACAAUUUAGGAAUGGUGCAUGCUGGUAGAGUUUUGCAGAAUGGCAUGUGUUCUUUACAGUGUGUUUCUGGCUUUGGAGCCACUUGGCAUGGGAGUACACUGUGAUUUACUGCAGACAGGCAUUCCUGGGCAAGGAGUCCCCUGCAUGGAAGGGACAUGCCAUCAGGAGAAGGAGAGGACACUGGGGGUGGGAUGGGGGAAGAAGACUUCUCAGUUCCCACUCUAGCAUUUACUUAAUGAGUGUAAUGUUCUUGCUAAUGGGAUUUAACCACAAUACCUGUCUCUAACCUUGUCACCGAAAAGGUAGUCUACAUGCCCCUCUUUUCAAUGCUGUCUGGGUGGAAACUGUGCCCAAGUCUGUUCUCCCAAUUUUCUAAGUGGUAAUCCUAGAAUUAUCUUGGCUCAGAAAUAAAUGAAGAACUCAUGUACAGGAGUCAGAUUUCCCUACAGGGGUUGUAACUGAAACAAGGAUUAAGUACCAGUGUACAAAACCUUUCAAGCAAUGGACAGCAUGUCAAUUGCGGAACACUCUAUCGUAGAAGGGCCCUUAGCGCUUCUCUUUUAUAAAGCCUGAGAUCAGAUUUUGGUGGAGAAUUAAAAGCAGGGCAAUUUAGCUCCUUUAAAGGGUUGCUGGUUUGGGAGGACCCAGCUAUUUUUAGCUCUGUUGCUGUCUGUCCAGGAAGCUAAAACAGCUAGUCAAUUAAAUGGUAAACAGUGUGUGUGUGUGUGUGUGUGUGUGUGUGUGCAAGGUGUUGUGUAGGAGUAGGGCAGGGAGCUGGGGAGAUAAAAUAGGCCUCAGAAAAGAGUCUACCCAGGGCAAGAACUUUGCAAAGAGUUGCACAGUGUCAUGCAGAUAAAGCAUCCACUGGUGGCCACCUGUUACACAGUGCACACGUUUAUUUGAUGUUGCGCAGCAGAUGGAAUGGAAUGACACUAAGCCAGCUGAUCACUCAUGCUCAGGCAUCCAUUGAGUGAUGGUCACAAACUCUCUGCCAUUUACUGACUAUCUGCUAUACACCUAGCAUGGCGCUUUACUUCCGGUGUGCCAUUGGAUGUUGACAGCUGCAGCCUGAGAAGCCGAUACAGAGACAUUUUUGCCCAAGAUUACCUACCUGAUAGGUGCCUGAACUGGAUUAGAAUCUAGUUUUCUUUCCAACUCUGCUCUAGUCACUUCUGUAGCCUGCCUCCCACACUGGUCCCAGCUGCACUGACACUAUGUGAUCUGAAAUCGGUGUGUGAGGGCACUUUGGCCUUCCUGGAGAAAGGCAUGGAGCACACACAGGCCCGAUAUGCACACACAGAAAUGUGUAUAUACUGAACCUACAUUUAAAUCCACAUUUUAAGUGUGCCAGUAUCCUUAAAAAGAAAUAAUGAGGGACUCUCAUUUACAUUUUGCUUUCCAGUUUUCCUGGAACUGUAAUUUGUACUCCUCUUUUUUAAAAAAAAUCCCCUUUACCUUCUUUUAUUUAUUAUGAUCCCUGGAGAAUGUGUCCUCUGCUCAUGGCCUAGAUAAGAGAUCAUGGGUAUGGAGCAGAGGUCAGCAAGAUAGACGUAUGUUAGAAAAAAAAAAGAAAAUAGCAGGGUGGAACCACAUGGCUCUUAGUGGUCAUUUUUUCCCCUCAUGCUGUGUAGCAAACCUGAGGCAUGCUCAAUUUGGCAUCUUUGAAUUUAAACCAUGGAUAAACCAAAUAGAUCACAAACUAUGAUUCCAAAUAGAAACUGUGGAUUUAUCCGAAGGUAUAUUAUAUGAUCUCAUCCAAACAUAAAAUUCAUAUUCUAAGAGUGGUGUGUAAAAUUCCCCGAGAUUUUAGUGCAAGAUAAUUUUCCCUUUUCAUGUGCCUUUCCUCAUAUUGAGAUAGGUGGAAAUCUUUUAAGAUUUUAAUUAACCUUCGUCCUAAUGAAAAACCAACUACCAAUCUAUAGAUGGAAGGAUAUUUCCUUGGACAAUGUAGCCGUUAGUGUAAGGUCUUGUUGAAUCUCUUUCAACAAGUGUUUGGAAAAAAUCAAAUUUAGAAAUAAACAUUCAUAUCUAGAGGGCCUAUCGGGGUUUCCCUCCAAGCAGACAAAGGAAUACUUUCAGUCUUAUUAUAUGUCUUUGGACAAGCUCAGCUCUCAGGGCCUGCUGAGCUCUAAUAUCUUACGAAUCACUAACAGUCAAACUUCUUUCAUUUUGAGGCCCAUUCCUGGAGGGAUAAAGAUAAUGUGGUCAAGGAUGCAACAAUCAGCUGUUGGACUCAGAUGUGGCUGUAGAUAUAAAACAGAGUAUCUCUUCCUUUCCAGAUCAAAGGGAGAGAGUCCUUAGAAUGCUCAAGUUCGAAGUAGACAAAGAGGAGAAGGAAUAUCUAGCAUCAAAAUAGUGGCAAAUAUAAAAAUCUAGGCUUAUUACUGAGACCUAGGAAACAAUUCUCAAGGAAUGUUCCUGCUGCCAGUUACCUGAGAUUUUUUAAUUACAGGCAAUUCAUGAUUACCUGUGAAAGGAGGGAUGGAGAGGAGAACUCAAACAAUGAAUGUUGCAAAAUCAUACAAAUUGGCUUGGGAAUAUUCUGCAUGAUUUCUCCCUCUUAGAAAUUUGCCUUCCUAAUUGUAUUUUGCUUAAUCCAAUAUUAAAAAUUAGUUGGUUUCCCCUGAGAAGCUCUGGAGUUAAACUGCAGAGGGAAUUAGUUUCAGGAGCAUGCCACUUGGAACGUGGUGGAUGAAACGUAUUCGGGCCUUAAUGGACCAAAAGCUCCCACAGAUAUUUUAAUCUUAAAGGAAAGUGUCAUCUUGAGCACCUUACUAGUCUUCUCAUGUUGCCUAAAAGGCUGUAAACAAGUAUUUGUGAUCGUUAUGUAGGUGAGAUUAUUUCUACCUAGAUUUGUGCAUUUUUACCUGGAGAAUGUUCCAUUCUCGUCUCUCCCCUCCUUGGUAGCUGUAGUAAAUAAUAAACCAUCUAUCAGACUUAAGCAUAGGGCCUUAAUGGGGCCAGAAAUUUUGUUGAAUAAAUGAGAACAUUACUUAAGGCAGGUCUGGGUCUCAUUGUGUGACACCCAAGCAAUCCAUGAGGUGAUGUUUGUGAUUUAGGAAUCCGAACCCUUAGGCUAUAGAGUUGUUUUCUUUGGGGUUCCAGACUAAGUUCCCUUUGCUUCCUUCCCAACUUCCUUAAUUCUUUCCUUUCUCCCUCCCUGCCCCAUUUUUUAUAUUUGCCUUGUACCAUAUUGAAAUUAUUUCAUAUUGUAAUGUUCCGUCAGUAUAUACAAAUUCAAAAGUAGACGUACAUCCCUUCAGCUUAUAGUGCAUCUACAACUGAAAAUCCAAAACAAAUUUGCACACUGAAUUCCAACAAAAUGACAAAUGCCGCACUCAGAUGAACAAUACUGAUUUGACGUGAUGAACGACAGUGAGCUAACAUUAAGUGCUCACUUGUGGCAGUGGUGGUGGACCGACUGGUAGGCUGGUGAUGCUUUAAUUUUAUCAUACCUUUCUGUGUUUGUGAUGUAGAAGACAGUUCUAACAUCUUACUUAAAUCCCCUAGAAAGCUUUGGUCCACAUAAGUGUGCUGAUAGAUCAUGUAGCCUCACGAAUCCAUAAUCCAUUUUUAGGUUCACAAUCAGGUAUUGUGGGUCCUGGUGAGUAUGUAGUUUUGGGGAGUAUUUUAAAUAAAAAGUUAAAAGGUAAUGAAAGCAGAAUAAGUGGGGUUCCUCUCAGGCCCUUGGAAAGAAUCUGUACAGAGCAGUGCUGAACAUCAGGCAUUCUUAGCUUCAAAUCCAUCUUCCAAAUCCAUCUCGUUCAUGGGUCAAGCACUUCUCUACUUUCCUUUUAUUACCAAUAAAAAUGUCCAACCGGGUAACAAUGAGGAGUUGUAUUUUGUUUUCAUUUUAAGGAUAUAGUUUUGCAUUAUACAUUGGUACUUUUUAAAGGUAAUUCUUAAAAUAAAAACAGAAAAUUAGAUAUGGUUAUUUGUAGCACAGAUGGUUGCACAAUCUUUUUAUGUAAACUAUUUCUCCUAUGAUGGAUUCCUACAAGGAAACCCUGGGAGAAAGUUUUGGGGCUUGCCUUUUUUUUUCAGCAUUCGUUUAAUUUACAGAGGUCAUGGAAAUAGAGAGGUCAGCAUUUCUCAAGAACAGCUUUUCCCAACCUGCCUGGCUUCUCGGAGCUUGAUCUGGGGGCUCACACAGCCCUUGUCAUUGUCUGGCACCUCGCCUGGUAACAUGGUUGUGAGCCCUGUCAGAAGACAGGGCCAAAGUGUGCCUCAGGUCAGCAUUUCUCUGGGGACCGAGGGGGCAGGCAGAACCCAGAGGUCAGAUCUGCCUUGGGGAUAACAUUGCAGAGUCCAGUGGUUGCAAUCAGGUGUGUUAUAAGUCAAAGCCACAUGGCAAACAGCAGGCACAGGGAAUGCUCAAAGGUCAGAUGGGCAACACAAGCCAGGGUCAGGAAGAACUUGGAGCUACAAUACCAGUUGGCAAGCAAAGCAGUCAUAAAAACCAUGAUCAGGCACAUUAUGCCUGUUGGACCUAAAUUCUUUCUGCCUACGAGACUGCUGUGCUCAGAGACAUUGGCUCUGGUACCAUGUGAGAGCACCUGGUAGACUGGAGAAUAAACUAUUAUACUCAAGAUCUAACCUGCCCUCUCAGGUUCUCUUCUCUCUAAGACAGGACAGUGAUGUCUCCACUGAAGUGACCUCCAUCGUACAGGUAUCCAGGAUACAUGCUCUGGGUGGAGCUUAGUUCUAAGAGAAUGUUUAUCUUGGAACCUUCUAAGGCUUUUCAUCAAAUAGUCCUAGCUUUCUUACUCCUUGCUUUAUGGGGUUGUUGUGAAUGGGUUUUGUAAAUAAUAAAGGACUACCACAUACCAGAUGACUACAAUCCUUUCUUUCCAGUGGGGAUUCUGAUGUUUAUAUUACCUGAAAGUUGUUUUCAAGUGAGGUUCUCAGCUAAUAAAUAUUUUUUUGGGUUUUCUUUCUAUUUUUUUUUUCCUUGAUUGAGCCUCAUCUUUUUGGUGACCAAUAAUUUAUUGGAAAUUUUAUCUGAGAAAAAUGUUUGCAGAGAUGGAGAGUUUCCCAGAUUCAAAAGAGAUUUUUCUUCUAAAACUCAGAGCUGGUAGAGCUACAAGACCAGCCUCUUUGUCUAAUCAAUCAGGUUUUUAACACAAUACACCCAGCUGAUGCUUGGGUAGAAUACAAAUUCCCAGUCAUGUGAGCUCUUAUCAGUUAUAAUACUGACAAAGAAUUAGCCAGUCUCUUUUGGUAAAAUGAUAGUUGCGGGCGCCUUAAUUUUUCUAGAAAUAUUUGGGGGAUUUGAAAGCUUAAGAAGUAAACAGGUUGUUUUGCUCAGGAAACCUUCUCUGAAAGACUGAGCAGGGUUCAUCUGAUGACAUUAGCUUUGCAAGUAAUUUCCAUGAUGUCAAGGGCACACUGGAGAUUAAAGAGGGAUUAAGACCUCCUUGCACAGUUAUGGCAUUGCAGUAAAUGGACUGGACUUGGCAGGCUGCAGCUCCGGUCGGCAACUUUCCAACACCUAAUCAUACACAAUAUAGGUUUGUGGUGUUACCUGGGCUAUUUUCACAGAGGCCAAGAAAUGUUUAACAGAUAAGGUGGGAGGAGAAAGAGGCUGGGAAGGAGGGUGGACCUGAGAAGAGCAGUUUAAGACACACCUGCCACCAUCAAGAGCUGCCGAAGAAGAUCAAGACAUUAAGGAAAAACAAUUUUUUUCAUAAUGUUUCAAAACAUGAGUUUCCAUCCUUUUUCCACUCCCAAAUUCUCCAGAUAUGCCUCUCUCUUAAAAGCUUUUUAUCCUUCAUGUUAUUAUCAAUUUCUUCAGCAAAAGGAGGCAGGUUUGUCCAGGAACUUCAUGGAAUAAAAAUGAGUUUAUGUUUUAAAACGGAAACAGCUGGAUGGCCAAAGCCAGGCAGGGAGGCAGCUCUGGUUUCAUCAGCAAAGGGAAACUCAAGGGCCUGGAGAGAACAACUGGGCUGGCAGCCAUGGCGGGGAGAAGAAAAGGAAACACACGAUCAUAAAGAACUAAUCAUGAUGAAAAAUGAAAAGCGAGAAAGAGCCAAGAACAACAAGCAAUAAAUAGAUUUGGAAAGGGGAAAAGACCAAAGGAAUGCAAAACCAUACUCAGGAAAGGGGCAGCAAGAUCAUGUGCGUUUCAUUGAAAAAUGUUUAAUAAUUCUUAAAAUCAUUAAAGAGUCCUACAGAAAUGUUUGGAGAUAACUUGUCAGACCUGAGAUUUAAUUCUUUGUGUUAUUUCAAAGCUGAUUUCAGUGCAUGAAAAGAAACAAAGUAAGAAAGGAAGAAAGGAAGAAAAGGAAAGGAAGAAAGAAGGAAAGAAAGAGAAUCAAAUGGACCUAGAGGGAGGAAUCUAAUGUAUAAUGUGCCAGAAUGCUUGGAUUUUUUUCUUUCUGCUUUUAUUUUUUUUUAACUUUUAAUUUCAGCCCGAUGGUAGGGAAAGUAAGCAAUUAGUUUGACUCUGUAGGUUCAAAGACUACAUCCAGGGCUGGGGAUUUAGCUCAGUGGUUUUGCCUCCUGCUGCGCAAGUGCAAAGACCCGAGUUCGAUCUCCGGUACCAAAAAAAAAAGGACUACAUCCAAAGUGAUAAAUCCUGAGUUUCUAAGAGUAAUUCAUACAUUCCUAGCUUUAAUUAGAAAUAGCAUGUACAUUUUUCUCUAUGCAGUAAUUGUCUGACAUUCAUGUGUUUGUCUCAAGGGACUGACAGUUCUGACUCACAGGUAGAUCUCUAAAUAUUUUCAGAUGAAAUUAACAUGGAUUUAAGGAGGACUUAAGAAGAAAACCAGAUCCUAGUUUGUUGUCCCUCUUGAAGUGUGUUCGACAUGAUAAAAUAUACAAACAUGGCCAAUUGUCCAGGCUAUCCUCGAGAUGGGAUUUUUAAUAAAAACUAUUUGAAGUUUUACAGCAGUUAUAGAUAAAAUCUUACCACAGAAAUGGUGCUGUCUUUUUAUAGGGGGGAUACUAAUUAUUAGCUUUUUUAAAAAAAUUAGUUUUUAAUAGCAGCAUUCGUUUAAAGAGAGAAAAAAAUGCUUAUGUUACCUUCUGGAAUGUACAUUCAUCUUGUUAAUGACACUGUAGUUCAUGGUUGGCAAAACAGGACUUCUGAAUCAACCUGUCUUUUUCUUUCCGUUUGGUAGUUACACUUGAGAAAGAAAGCCAGCCCACUAAAGAUACAUGAAAAGUGCAUGAAGACAGGAUAAAGGAUUUCCUAUGAUUUUAUGUUGUUCUUAAUUAGGAAGCAUAUUGGCAACAAAUGCUAACAUGUGUUAAGAUGUUUAGUUGUAGCCAAAUAAAUGUUUUCUAUUACAACUCUGAAUUCCAUGCCUACUAGGAAACCAUGCUGUUCUGUGCAUGGCUUACAAAAUCCCUUUACAAAUCAUCUCAAGGACCAAUUUUCUGUUGGCUCACAGAGCAAAACUACUUUCGCCACAUGUUCUCCUGAAGGGUCAUGGGCAACUCCAAGCGGAAGUCAAAGACAAGAGGAACAUGAUCUCCGAUGUUGGAACUGCACUGCUUUGUGGUAAUGAAUGGUCCUUCAUGAGCAUACUCAAUGUGAGCCCAGUCUCAGAAGGGGGUGUCCAGAAGCUAGGGAGCAGCACCCUCUCAUCUGUGUUUGUUUUUAUCUCAGUGGAGGAGAAGCCAAGUGAAGAAGAAUUUCCUAUAACUUCUGCUAGCAGUGUAUCACAAAAUGCUUCAUCUCCGAUGAACAAGAGUAGGCACCAAGCUGAGUAACAAGGCUAGAGAGGAUCCUUAUCUUGAUCAUUGCGUAUUUUUAAAGAGCAAACAUUUAUUUUCUACUUCUAAUGUCAGAAGUUGAUUGAAAAAGAACAAAAAGUGAAUGGUGGUGAAGUUGUUUCCUAAAAUUUAAUAUUAGGGCACCUUCUCUAUUCAGGAUCUUAUGUUGCAAGCUAACUGUACAACUGUCAUGCUUUUGGGGGGUAACUGGUGCAUGGAUUAUUCUAUCUGUGUCUUAGAAACUUUAAGAGAAAAGAUUUCCAUCAUGGUAUUUUCUACUGCAUUGCACAGAAAUUUUACAUACCCUCAUUCAUUUACACAGCUGAAAUGACACAGGAGAUAGCCAGCAUCUGUCCAUUGGUUGGAAAGCACUCUAGUUUUUUGAUAUCAAUAAGUCAAUGGAAUCCAUGACUUACAGCAAUCUUGCGGUAUUCAUUCAAUAUGCUAUGACCAUGUUACCUAAAAGCUUCAUCUCUGCUCCCUGCAAUAUUCUUCCUCCAAUUUUUGGCUGGUGUGUUCUCUCCCUUCUUCAUGCCUUUUUUCAAUUGUCCCAAUUCCUGAAGCUUCUCCUCAUGUCUCAAGUAUUCUCUUUCCCUGUGUGCAAUUAUUUUGUUUUCUUCAUUAAUUUAGUUCCUCUCUCCUCUUCUAGGCUAUACAUUUCAUGAGGAAAGAAAGGCAUUUUGGUGUCAUUCUGGUGCCUAAGAACCUAAGUAGGAGAUGUGUAAUAAAUAAUUUGUUCACUGAAUUAACAGGCCCAUAAUAUUUUUGUUAUUCCUCUCACAUCCAUGGGCAACAUGUUCAAAACCUUGAAAAUUAUUAAAUCAUUUCUCUGCAUUGCUAUGUAAAACUUCUAAUAUUCCUAAUAAGACUGACCAUGCUUAUGAAAUCUUUUUUCCUUGGCCCACUGAGUAUAUGGACCACGAAAUAUUUAACAAAAAAGUGAGACUGUACAAAGAAGCACUAGGUUAGUGAAAGAUGAUUUUUUUUUUUUAGUGCUUUUAGGUGGUGACCUCUUAACAAUGUAUCAGAUCUUUUGUAAACCGUGAAAUGAAAUGACUGGCUAUCGGAACUAAAUUUGAAGAGAAAAACUGUCAUCUUCAAAGCAGUAAAAUCUCUAUAUAACCAUGUAAACUAAUUACUAGGUUAAGUAAAAUCACUGAAAUAUAUCAGGCCUUUCUCAUGUCUGCAGGGCAGACAUAAUACAGUAAAUUUCUAAUAGUCAGCCUGGGAAGGCGCUGUAAUGGUUAGAGGAUGUCAUGGUAAUAGUCUCAGUUUUGGUUGGGAGACUUACAAAGAGAAUAUUGGUUGUACAUAAACUGUAGAAUCUACUUGAAUAUUUCUUUUUCAUUUCUCCCUAUCAAAGAGUGGAAGAUAUUUUGUGUAUAAUGUUUUUUUUUAAUUUUAGAUUAUUUGGUAUAUUGUAUUUUUUCAUGUGGGUAACAAAAAUACGUGAGCAAGAGCAAAACCUACCAGAAGCCUCAAAAACAUAGGUACCAUGGAAGACCUCAUGAUUCUUUCAAUUAUUAAAAAGCACUAUUUUAAGAAGACAUGUUAGUAAUCCACAGUAAGUCAGAAGUAUUGGAUCAACACAUUGGAACAUUGAGUAUUUAUUUAGUUUUUGGUGCUGGGGCUGGAACCUAGGGUCUCACAUGUGGCAGGUAAAUAUUCUACAACUGAGCUGUACCCCUAGUUCUGAAUGUUUGUUUUAUUAGGUCAUUUUAUAUACAUAUAUAUUUAAAUUUGGGACAUUGUUUUCUAAAGUCUCAAACUACUCUUAUACUCAACCCCGAAGACAACCCAGCUCACCACUCUGGAUUACGACUAACUGUUUGCGUAUAUGUUUUUCCCAAGAAAUUAUGCACCUUGAAGAAAAAGACUUCAUUUUUUUUUGCUUCACAAUAUUUCCCAUGACCCAGUGCAUGGAAUGGAUAAAUUACCCUUAGCAGAGGCUCAUCAGCGAUUCCUGACUUCCCUGCUAACUUUUCCUAGAGAUGUGAAUUAAAGAUAGAAAUUUGUUCAGACCAUUGAUGGUCCUCAGAAAUACAAUCUUAAAAAGUUGAUAUCUAUCCGGUCUCAAUUCAUGGAGAGCGGUGGGAACCAGACCUCUGAAAAGUGGUUGAGUAUUGGGCUACAAGCUUAGGGGAUAGUCCAUGAGGAAUAAAACCAAAAACAUACAUUAACAUUUAUUUGCCCAAACGGCUGGUGCCUUAAAAGCUGGUGCCCUCCCCCAUUCCAAUUAACAUGGAGGGAAAUAUUCCAGCUGCUGGGAUCUUUCCUCUGCAUGCGAACCUGCCGUUGUUGCCUGGGUAGCCUGUGUGUCUCUUUGGAAUUGAUAAUGAGGUUCAAGAGAGAGAGGUAUGGCCUGUACUAAGCAUGUCACCCCUAUUUAGCACCUUUGCCAGGAUGGCAGCCACUAUUGUUUUAUUAUGUCCCUGAUCAGCUGGCACUAUUCAUAAAGUAAUCACUGCCAUUAACACAUCACGCCUCAAGCCAUCUGCUGCAGCAUCACGUACACCAAGCUGUUGGUUGCAAGCAAAGCAGGUGUCAUCUAAGGAUAGUGGCACGGUAAAGGUGGGAAGUCAUCAUAGUGAAAGAAGAUAUGUUCUAUCAAAUAAUUCCAUAUUUUGAUACAUUAUAGUAUAAUAGGCCAUGGUUAUUUUGCCCAACUUGCAGAUGGCUUAAAUAAGAUAAUUCAAGUUUGAAAUAUUUUAUUUUCAACACUGGUCAGUUAUGGAGCCAAAAAUGUCCUUGAAUACCUUGAUGAUAGCAUCUUGAUCACAAGUGGACUAUUGCAUUAAUUUGCAGUAAAGUUUAGAGCAUUCUUACAGAAGCCUUCCUCUGAUCAAUCAACUCUUCAAGUGACAAACAUUUACUGAGCAUGUAGUAAGUGACACUGAUACCUGUCUUGCUCAAAUUGUAAAAGUACUAGUUUAAAACAUGAUCUGGUAAUGUAUAUGGUAGAGACUCCAUGUGUACUGAAUUCCCACCCUUUGUUCUGUCCCUAACACUUCUCUUGAUUUUUGAAUAAUUUUAAGUUUUUAUUACUUUCCAUAUUGAUGGCAUUUUUAUGUCCAAAACAAGUUUACAUUGGAAAAAUAUAAUGAUUAAAUGCAAUCUAUAAAAAUGGAUAAAGUAUAGGAUGAUCAGUUAUUGCCACCCUCUUCAUUAUGAAGGGGAUUUGUGAUUAUACAAUCAUGAGUGGAGUUAAAAAUUUAAUUGAAAGUGUUAAGUGAGGUUAGGGAGUGAAAUAAGUGAUCAUACUUGGUCCAAAUAGUCUUUUCCACCUGCGUGUAAAGUGGAACUGCAUUCCUUGUUUCUUUAACUAUAGAAAAUUUAUCUAUUUGCUCUGUACUCCCCCCAUAAAAAAGAAAUAAUAAAACAUUAAUGAGAGUAGCUAACUCUGCCCUCUAUUUCAAUCCCCAAGCUUUGCUCUUAUCUUGGAAGUGAGAAGUGUUGGAUGAGGGGUUGGAUCUGCCAGCCCCUCUGUUACUUUUAGCAGCAUCCUGCUCUUCACUUGCUAAGGAUAUAUGUGUCUGGCUAUGCAGGCUGUGGUCCUAGGGUCCAUGUAACACAGCACUGUUCACCAGGACACACCUGUCCACAUAUCCUCUAGGCUACUGGGUGGUCUAAGGGAUUUUUAAGGCUAAAUUUGACUUUACAUUUAGAACUUCACCUCUAUGGGUGUAUGUUAAUCACCCAUGGAAUUGGUGAAGGCUACCGGAUUCCAAAAUCUAUUGAAAGCAAAGAUAGCCAUUUUCUAUAUCAAGAUUUCUCAACUACUUUUGAACUCAACUUCCUUUUGAAAGACAAAAGAAAUGUCAAGCUCUCUUCUCAUCCCUGAAGAUUUGUGGAUCCAUCUGUUGUCACCAAAAAGACACUCUCAAGAUCUACUUUUGUAGGUGGAGUUAAGAAAAACGUUUUAAAACUUCUCUUCUUGCCUUUACACCCUGAGAAUUUGGAGUGUAGAUUUCAGAUGGGAAGUAGACUACUUUUCACUAUCAAAUACUCAAUUGAAGGCAAGAUUUAGUUAUUUUGACUUGAAGAUUGAAAUUUUGGAGUCUGGAAUGGCUACCUUUGAAAAUAUAAGUGAAGAUAAAAAGACACAAAUGAAGAAUCAAAGAACAAGCUAAUGAUUAUUGUCCUUUUCUAAGGGGACUACAUAUGCUCAAUAAAUCUGUGAUUACUGACUACCUACUGACUUACAGGGACAGGCAUGCUGAUGGUUUUGGAUACUGUAAUUUUAAGUUGACUUUGCCACAUGUGAUUUAAUACUUUGAAUACAAAGCCCCCAAAUUGUUUGCUAUUUUGUUUGGAUCAAAAUGUGUAGCUCAAAUGACUUUGUAAGACUGGCUUCUCAAACUAUCACCUGCCCUUACAUCAGGCUCAGAAAGAACACAAAGACAAAAGACUCUUAGGUCCACUUCUGAUGCAUUACCAGCUCUUGCAAAUGCUCAACCAAGAAAAUACAUAAUGGUUCCUCUUUCGUCACUUUUGUUAAAAUAUUUUUGUUGAAAGUUGGUAAAAGCUGUAGAUGAGCAAGCCUGGUCAUAGGUUUGAACCUGGCACAAACGACGAGGGCACCUGGGAGAUAUUCUCCCGCUGAACAUGUCCACAGUACAGUUUUUGCCUCAGGAGCAUGUUCACUGUGGCUCUGCAGGACCCAGUUGUGUGAUAGUGGGAGGCUGAUCGACUUAAAGCACAUUGGUAGCUUGUGAACACUUAAGACUGGAAACCUUCUUUGAUAAAUGCACAUCUGUCUUCUUUUUUUGAAGUCCUUAGGAAAAAUGUUGCCGGACAUUUUGCUGCCCGGAGGAGUCUAGACUUCCUUAAGCAUAAACCUUAAUCCUUCCUGGCUUCCUGCUACAAUUCUUCUGUUUCCUCCCCCAUCUUUUUCUGGGCAAAGCCAAUUCUUUUUCUCUACUCUUACCUGAGGGUCUCUGUUCACUUUUGAAGCCACAGACAAUGCAAGAAACAUUUAUUCGAAUACCUAGGCCCCAAAUGUUUCUGGAAAAAUAAAAGAUGUGUGACCAAGGACAUUACUUACCCUUUCAAUCUGUGAAAUGGAGACAAUCCAGAGAUAUCCCCUAAGGGGCCUAUGGGUAAUCAUAUAAUGUUUAUAACUCUAUAAAACAAUGGGAUACUUAUCCUUGCAAUUUGUAAAUAUAAAUUUAUAAAGACUAUAACAGUUUAACUUAUUAUAGUACUUAUCAACAUUGUUAUGUGAGUACCAUGCACUAGCCCAUUGUGUCACUGAAACCCCCUUACUGAUGUUGUUAAACACUCAGGCUUCCAGAACAUACUAAGUGUUCAAUAAAUAUAAUCAGUUACUAUUUAGAGUAAGAUAAAAAGGUAAUAAAAUAAAGCUGUAAUUCUUGUAUGUACACAGCAUGGAGGAGAAAGACUACACAGCAUGGCUAAAGACUUGGAGAUCUGACUUGAAUAUUUUAAAGGACGUAUCUUAAAGGGAUCAAGCCCAAAGAUGAUCUACCACAGAGCUACAUCUCUCGCCCUUUUUCUUUUUCUUUUUUUAUUUUGGGACAGGGUCUCACUAAAUUGGCCAGAUGGGACUUGAACUCAUGAUCAUCCUGUCUCAGUCUACCUCACUGCUGGGAUUACAGAUUUUUGGAUGGUUGUGUCCCCUCUAAACACAGCAGAAUGGUGUUCUUGCUGUUGUGCUGUUGGAAGGACGUGAACUUCCAGUUCCUGGGUCUGAGCUCUAUGUCUGAUUCUGCCACAUACCUGCAGCCCUGUGCCCUUAGCCUCCUUGAGGUAAAAAGCUUUGCUCCACCCAACGUCCCUGCCAUGAUGUUCUGCCUCAUCCCAGAACCAAAAGCAAUGGAGACAAGUGACUAUGGACUGGAGCCUCUGAAACUGUUUUUACUUGAAGACACCGAGAACUACAGCAUCAUUCAUUGUUGGCAUGUUACAGUAGAAAGACCACUGGGCUUGGGAGUAAGAAGAUGGAAAUCAAAGAGCCAGUUUUUUCACUUCAACAAAAUGGUGCUGAAGAAAUAGGAUAUUUCAGUGGUUCCUGAGCAUAACUUACAACAUCAGCAUGGUUGGAACUCUGUGCACACAUGCGUACACAUGGAUUACCCUCCUGAGCCUUUGGUUCAAAAGAUUGGAAAUUGAUUCCUAUUGUUUACAAGCAGCUGGUGUCAAUGACUACUGAUACAUCCAUUGAAUUCUAGUUUCUUCAUUUGUAAAACAGGAAUAGCAUUUCCUAUCCGUCAUAAACGAUUGUUGUGAAGAUUAAAUGCAACAAUAGACUUGUGGCACAGGCAUAAUGCUCAGAGGAAGCUCCCUUGUUUCUUCUUCCAGUGAGCCUUCCUUGUUGUAGCUCAGAGCUUCCCAAAGGGGAUUAGCUCCAUGGGAUGCUCUGCGGAAUGACUGUGUCUUGGGCAGUUGUAUUUGACACUUAGUCUUCCUUCCUGCUUGCUAAUGGACCAUUAGAACUUUAAGGACUCUAAAAUGAGCAGAAGAAAACGGACUGGUUAAAUCUGUUGCACUCAGUGUCCCCCAAAAAGUUAUUUUACUAUUAAACUUUUUAAAGUGGCAAUUAUUAAUUGAUGUUCAACAGAGCAUGCUUCAGGGAUCACUUCCCUCUACAAUCUCUAACUAAUGUUCUACCUUUCUAUAACCUCUCUCAGGGAAUUUACUGCUUGUUUUGAUCUGAUUAAGACCCAGGCUUUCUAAUCAUCCCGGACAAUAUCUGCUCUUUUUCUGAACUACUAAUUUCAGUGGACACUCAUAUUAGUGAUGAUUCUAUUUAACUUUAACUUCCUGAGAUUAUGAAGGUAGAACACAAAUUAUCUUGGAAGAAAUUAAACCAACAAUUUAGAAAUAAAAUUAAUAACUAAACAGUAAAAAUUCACAAGUACAAGGGUGUUAAAUAAAAAAAGAGAACAUUAUAUUUUGAGAGAGCAUAACUUACUCUUGCACCCAGUUUGAUGGGAUAAAUUUAAAAGUACAAGUUUGUCUGAGAGCUAAAUUAAUCCAAUAGUCAGAAAUACCUUGAUAAAAACUUAUAAAUGAACUAAAAAUAGUUAAAUGAGAUUGCUGCUGGAGGAUAACAACAUUGAAGUUGCCAAUCUAAGAGCUAUUGAGAAGCAGAAUAUAGUUACGUAGGUUUUUGGGGUGACAUAAUUUGCCUGGUCUGUAUUUUUAAAGGAAGGUGGACUAUUUUGUUUCUAUACAUCCUCCUGGAACUGAGAAUGUAUAUCUUUAGUUGAGGUGUGUCUAUAAAAUAAUGUCUUACUUAUUCAGGCCUAAGUGGAAGAGGGUACACCUGUAUGGAUGCAUGGCUUGAGGCGAAUGAGUGAACAAGAUAGUUGGAUUCAGGGUAUAAAGUUCAAAGCCAGGUCAGGAAGAGUUAGCAUUAAGACUUUGCUUCUUCAGAUAACUACUCAAUAUGUAUAUUUUUUGCAAGCAUCUUGCUUUUGCAGGUCUGCUAUGAAAAUCUCAGAAGAACAGCUUUGCUUGUGAGCUCUCCCACAUUUCUACUCUGGUCCUGGCCAGAAAGACUGUGAGAACACCCUUUCAUUUGGUAUUUGAGCCCUUCUGCCUCUAUUCCUGGCUUCAGACCAAAGGGAAUAAAUGCAACCGAACAUUUCAGAACCUCGAAAUAGUAAACCGAAAAUGGUUUGCUCUGCUUUUGGUUCUAAAAAUGAUUGACCUGAGAAUUUUUUUUCCAAACUAUCUGCUUGGUCCAUCUCUAGUGUGGAUUACUGGACUUUAGAAACCUGAGGAGGAGAGUAUUUCUUAGAAAAUACAUAAAGAAAAUAUGCAAACAAAAUUUUUAUAAUAAAGGUGCCCAGUUGCUACAACAGAGGUUAGAUUUUACGAGCAUGGUUUAUAUUCCUGAGUAUUUAAAGCAGAAGAGGCUUGGAUGAGAAAGUGGAAAACAUGGGCUUGUAUGGUGAGCCAGUUCAUCACUAGCUUAGUGACCAGGGCAGAUUCCCUAGGCUUUGUCUCCUCUGGGCAAAAUGAAUAGAAAUCAAAAGAAUUAUACUUAUUUUAAUUGAGUCAUUAUGAAGAACAAGGUAUUUCAGAAUACCUUAAAAAUUACAGUGCCAAAGACCAUGUGAAAGUCAGUAAAUCAUAGGGACUACAAGUUUGUAUGUUACCACCAAACACACCUGGUUUCAAAUCUCUGUUCCUCUGCAUUCCAGCUCUGUGACCUGCGUAUGUCACUAAAAACCUCUGAACACUGAUUUCAUCAUCUGUGAAAUGAGGAGAGUGAUGUUGGGAGAAGAAAGUCAAAUGAUGUAAAAUGGUAUUGAUGAUGCCUAUUGUACAUACUCAUAGUUCCAGGUGCCAAUCUAGAGAACCCUCUGAACUAUUUUCCACACAGUUACUUAGUCUUCUGAAUCCCAUUGAGUUGACACAAGAAUGAUGCCCAUGUGUUGGGUGGCUGCGUAGGGGGUCAGUUUACUUGCUUGGAUCCAAAAUAUGGAUUAGGCUCAAUGGGAAUAUCCAAAGGAGAAAGUAGAACACUCUGGCCGGGCUAUGCCAAGUAUAAAGCAAUGCUGAUUUGGGUCAAUUUUUAGCAUCCACUUUUCAAUAGCAAAGAGAGAAAGGUGAAAGGUAAAACUAUAUGCAGGGCCACUUUUUGUGGAAUUAGAACACCAGGACAGAUUUUCUUACAUUAGGGAUAGGAUACUUGUUUUGUGAAAAACAGGUAUUCACUAUAACUAAAUAUACAAUGUCACUGGUAGUUUACUUGAUAUUCCCUACACACAUUAAGGAUAGGAAUUUAGUAAAUAUUUGAUUUGAUUAAAUAUUAAAGUAUCAUAUAAGUCUUCCAAUGAAAACACUGUCUUUAAUCCACCCAGCAGGACUUACUGUUCUGCUACCCCUCUAAGGUGUUUGUUAAAUAGCAUUCUCUCUUCCUCCCUUCAUAGUUAAAGUUUUUGAGUGAAUAAUCCUAUUGGCAGCAUUUCUUCAUGGAUUUGGAAUCCCUACAUUUCUCUCCCUCUGGGUAUUGACACUUCUGGGCACUUGUGACUCCCCAAGGGCCACAUCCAAUGACAGUUUGUAAAUGAGAUUCUCUUUUGCCAUUUUGCAUCUUUUACCUUCUGCAGCACUUUUUUGUCCCCUCCCCCAAUUACAGUGAAUCCUUUUCUGUCGCCUUCAGGUGCUUCCUUGGGAUUCUGUCCUUUAUCGCCUUCUCUUUACCCCAUACCUUAAGCCAACCCUGCCAAUCUACUACUCUAGUUAUCUCCCCUACCCGAAACUCUGGGCCCCCAUAAUGUUCCUCCCAAGCUUGUUAUCUUCACCUGGAUGUCGUCAAGCUUGGUGUCCAAAGUCAAAGCUCAACAACUGUCUCUGUAAGCCGGCUCCCCUCUCCUGCCCCCUUCACUUCAGCCAUUUUGUUUGUAUAUGAAAAUAAACUUCUCCUGGUGGGAAAAAUUCAAACCCUCAGCACUAUCUUGGUCCCAAGGCUCUCGUUUGACCUCAAGUUCCAGGAAAUUCCCAUGUUUAGUUGUGAGCCUGUCAAUUUUAUCUAACUAUGUCUGCCACACUUACAGGGUGGACAGAUGAUGCUUCGAGGGUCUCUGGUUCUCUCUGGGAUGUGUACUCAUGCGUUCUGAAGACAGUUGCUAUAACUCCAGCCAUUUCUUCUGUAUUUUAGACAGGAAAAGGAGAUAGACCACAGAAUCAAAGGGCACUUGCCAAUGCCCAAGGGGCAUCCUUUAAGGGGAGUUUUCUUGAAGGAACUGUUUGAUAAUCUUUGCUUAUAUUGAGUUGACCAGAGCAGAGCUGCAUCAAUCCACCAGGGAGGCAAAGAAAUAUAGUCAAAACAUCUGACCACAGUGCUGCUCCAAUGAGAUAGAACACUAUGGGAAGGGAAGAAAAAGCAGCAUGAGAUUGAGUAGAUGACCAAGGGUCUUUACAAACCCGUUCUCUUUACUUUCCUAUGUUUUCUUAAAAGAAACAACCACUGAAUUUGGAAGGAUAAAAGAGACUACAGUUCUUUCUUUCCCACCCUCAUCAUCUUACUUCAUACUCUUCUUACCUUUUUGCUUAGAUUCUUGCAAAGUUACAUGUAAGUCCCUACUCCACUUUUACUAUUUCCUCGGGUCUCCACGCAUUUAUUAAAGAAGAGAGUGUUGCUGAUGGGCACUGUGCAACAUGCUCAGGAUGAAAGAAACAAUGUCCUUGUUCUUGAUUUGAUCUACACAUUAUAUACCUGUCACAAACAUCACACUGUACCCCAUAAAUAUGCACUAUUAUUAUGUGUCUAUUAAAAUCAAUCAAUCAUCAAUCAAUCCCAUGACCUUUGUUAUGGUACAUAUAGUCCUGUCGGGGAGACCAACAUGCCAGCAACUGGUCCCAGUACACCACAUCACAGGAUGAGAUGGACGUGGACGAAAUGAAUUGAGGAAGCAGAGAGAAAACCAUGGCUACUGGAGCCUGGGAAAGUCUGAGAAGACUCUAUAGAAAAGUGGAUAUUGUCAGCUGAGUUGUGUUUUAGUAAGCAUUUCACAGGCCAACUCAAAGAGAAAUAAUAAGUUUUCUGUGUUUGCAAACUAUUGCCCAUGAAAAACUGAGGGGUGACAUACUUGACCUCACUCCAAAUUUAAUUUUUAAAGAAAGGAAUCAUAAGUAAAAGUAAUUUAAAAUAUAACAUUACAGGGCACAGUAUUGAUAAAUGAGAGGAAAACUGGUUCUUAAAGAGUGUACCACUCACUGACCAUGCCCUGAAAUUAACUGAGAACUCAUUUGUCAAGAGUGUACCUACCCUGAGAAAAUCUUCCAAUUAACAUCAAAAGUGAUCAUUCUUAACCUCUCAUGCAUUAAGAAAUUCUUGUCUGCACCUGAUGUUCUGUUCAUAAUCAAUGGAGCUCUUUAUGUAUGUUAUUUCAAAUUUAUCACCCUGUAUAUUACUAAAAUGAACGAAUUAAUAAAUGAAUCUGCUGUAGGUCCAGAAGCCAGAUUUAUUUGUUGUCUCCUGGUUCUCAUAGGAUUUUCCUUUGGUCUGUAAGUCAUUUCACUCUGCAGUUUCUCACAGUUUCCGAUAUUUAUUGAUAGCUACUGACAGCAUGUGUUGGUACUUACAGACCAAUGGUGUCUAUGUAAGAAAAAUGCUUUUUGGGAGGAUUAGAUCUGUUCUGAAAAAUGUCAGCCAUGUCACUAUCAGACUAUGCUAAGAAGACAAUGCAAAAGUCCUAUCAGUUCUAACUGUAAUAUAUUGUCACAGAAACAUGCCUCAAGAUAAAUUAAGUAAUACUUGAUGCUGUCAUGGUAAUGGGAAGAUUGAUAAGUUUAUAAACUUUGGUUGAGAACAAAUUAGUGCAAUAUUCUUGGUGGCCACUAUCACGAUAUGAGAUUAAGAUAUGUUAGGCUAUAUCCCUAAAUUUGGACCCUUAAUUUCUACCUAUAAGAAUCUACCUAUGAAAAUGAUUAAAAUUUAGAAUAUGAUGUAGAAAAUGGAAGUCAGAGCAUUCAAUAAACUGCAAAAUAUCCAAGAGCUCGAAUAUUAUGUAGUCUAUCAAAAAUUCUGUCUUCAAAUAUUUUUGAUUACAUAAAAAAGUGCCUGUUACAUUCAGUGAUGGACAAGAAGGAAAGUAUUAAGGUCUCAUCCCUCUCUAUGUGGAUAAAUGUCAUUCAUGUUUAUGCAUGCAUAUCUUUCAUGUGAUUUGCACUGGACUGCUAAGAGUUUAAGUGAUUCCUGUUAUCUUCAGGGUUAUCUAAAUUUUAUAACUUUCUACAUCAAGAAGUGUGAGUUUCAUAAUCAGGAACAAAAAAGAAAAUCUUAAAAGGAAAGCUAAACAAAGAUCAUGCAAGAGAGUAGGAAGGGUUUGUUUUUGGCCCUUUUCAUAUGUAAUUGUCUACACUAAUAAUUCUCAGACUUGCAUACCAAGUGAAGUCAAUCUCACUAAGGGUCUCAAUCAAGACUCAGGCUUGAGUGUGUGCUCCAGGCUCUGAGCAUUCCCCCAUCACCCCUCUCCAUCCUGUCCUCCAAAUUUCCAUCCAUUUUUUUUUUCAAGCCAGGAAUGUUCCCAUAUGUCUGUAAUCCCAGCACUUUAGGUGGCUGAGGCUGGAGGAUUGCAUGUUCAAGCCCAGCCUGGGCAAUUUAGUGAAUUGGAAAGACAUUGUUUCAAAAUGUAAUAAAUGAAUGAAUGAAUGAAUGAAUAAUAAAUAAAUGAAUGGGCUGAGGAUGUACCUCAGUGGAAAGGCCCUGUGUUUAAUGCCCAGGAUUGAAAAAAGGAAUUUACUUUUUUACCAAAGCACAGCUAUUGUCAUGUGACUCCCUCCUUGAAGCAUCAUUAUAACUUCCUGACUGCUCGGCGUGCUCAGCGUGGCUCCAGCUCCUGUCCACCGUCUGAUACCUUUUGUAUCGCCUCAUCUUCUGACACUCCAGCCCAGCAGGCGUCUGGUUCCCUUCACGACACGCCUCACUCUGCCCUCCCAGUCACUGUUUCCUCAUGUUUGUUCGUUCUGCUCACCCUUCAAAGCCCUGCUAAAAUUCCUAGAAUGUUCAUUGUGAAUGUUUUCCUCCAUCAUUUCCUCUGUGGACUGUAUUGGUCUCUUUUAUUGCAUUUACCAGGAUUUAACUUGUUUCAUGCUUACUUGUGUCUUUCUCUUCUUGUGUUGUUAGCCCCCCAAAUUAUACCAUCUGUUGUGAUUUUCAGUUGUUAGCAGGUAUUACAGUCAUCUAAGGGUUAAUUAAAACAGAAAUUUGGGGUCCCAUUCCAAGUAUUUCUAAUGCAAUAUACCUGUGGAGGGGCAUAGGAAAGUCCUUUUCCAAUAAGGCCACAGGCGCUGCUGCUACAGUUGGUGACAGAAAACACUUUGAGAACCAUUGCUUUCCAAGGAGGGUGAGAAUGAUGUAAAACAAAUGAGACUCUGCUUUGCUGUGGAAGAUAGAGCACGGAUAGUGAAAUCAUAGGAUUUCAUGCAACUUGGGUUAGAUUUCUGUUCUGUCACUUGAUGUUUGAACAAGUUACUUAACCUUUCUAAGAAACUUAACUUUCUUGCCAGGUAGUUUAGGAACAUUAUUAACUCUUAUAUAAGAAUUUUUUCUGAGGGUUAUAUAGGAUUGCAAAAUACCCAAUAAAUGGUGGCUACUACUAUGAAUCCAUUUAUUCUACAAAAUAACCGUGUAAGAUACGUUUUUGCUCCCAUUGGCCGUACUGUACCCCCAGACAGCUUCUUGGACUUUUAAUUAAAG
This 23207-nucleotide long non-coding RNA is filed under the name Heterocephalus glaber (naked mole-rat). Its description in RNAcentral is "lncRNA (ENSHGLG00100048239.1)". Lineage: Eukaryota; Metazoa; Chordata; Mammalia; Rodentia; Bathyergidae. The record is from RNAcentral.